GAUGAACGCUGGCGGCGUGCCUAAUACAUGCAAGUCGAGCGAACAGACGAGGAGCUUGCUCCUCUGACGUUAGCGGCGGACGGGUGAGUAACUCGUGGAUAACCUACCUAUAAGACUGGGAUAACUUCGGGAAACCGGAGCUAAUACCGGAUAAUAUAUUGAACCGCAUGGUUCAAUAGUGAAAGACGGUUUUGCUGUCACUUAUAGAUGGAUCCGCGCCGCAUUAGCUAGUUGGUAAGGUAACGGCUUACCAAGGCAACGAUGCGUAGCCGACCUGAGAGGGUGAUCGGCCACACUGGAACUGAGACACGGUCCAGACUCCUACGGGAGGCAGCAGUAGGGAAUCUUCCGCAAUGGGCGAAAGCCUGACGGAGCAACGCCGCAUGAGUGAUGAAGGUCUUCGGAUCGUAAAACUCUGUUAUUAGGGAAGAACAAAUGUGUAAGUAACUAUGCACGUCUUGACGGUACCUAAUCAGAAAGCCACGGCUAACUACGUG
Molecule: ribosomal RNA, 497 nt
Filed under: uncultured bacterium
Lineage: Bacteria
Description: partial 16S ribosomal RNA
Rfam family: Bacterial small subunit ribosomal RNA
Source: RNAcentral